GAUGAACGCUGGCGGCGUGCCUAAUACAUGCAAGUCGAGCGAACAGACGAGGAGCUUGCUCCUCUGACGUUAGCGGCGGACGGGUGAGUAACACGUGGAUAACCUACCUAUAAGACUGGGAUAACUUCGGGAAACCGGAGCUAAUACCGGAUAAUAUAUUGAACCGCAUGGUUCAAUAGUGAAAGACGGUUUUGCUGUCACUUAUAGACGGAUCCGCGCCGCAUUAGCUAGUUGGUAAGGUAACGGCGUACCAAGGCGACGAUGCGUAGCCGACCUGAGAGGGUGAUCGGCCGCCCUGGAACUGAGACACGGUCCAGACGCCUACGGGAGGCAGCAGUAGGGAAUCUUCCGCAAUGGGCGAAAGCCUGACGGAGCAACGCCGCGUGAGUGAUGAAGGUCUUCGGAUCGUAAAACUCUGUUAUUAGGGAAGAACAAAUGUGUAAGUAACUAUGCACGUCUUGACGGUACCUAAUCAGAAAGCCACGGCUAACUACGUG
This 497-nucleotide ribosomal RNA is filed under the name uncultured bacterium. Its description in RNAcentral is "partial 16S ribosomal RNA". It matches the Rfam family "Bacterial small subunit ribosomal RNA", at positions 28 to 507 of the family's 1533-position model. The record is from RNAcentral.